UACGGAGGGUGCAAGCGUUGUCCGGAUUUAUUGGGUUUAAAGGGUGCGUAGGCGGCCUUGUAAGUCAGUGGUGAAAGCCUCCAGCUCAACUGGAGAACUGCCAUUGAUACUGCAAGGCUUGAGUACAGACGAGGUUGGCGGAAUUGAUUGUGUAGCGGUGAAAUGCAUAGAUACAAUCAAGAACUCCGAUUGCGUAGGCAGCUAACUAGGCUGUAACUGACGCUGAGGCACGAAAGCGUGGGUAGCAAACAGG
Molecule: ribosomal RNA, 253 nt
Filed under: uncultured bacterium
Lineage: Bacteria
Description: partial 16S ribosomal RNA
Rfam family: Bacterial small subunit ribosomal RNA
Source: RNAcentral